AUUGAACGCUGGCGGCAGGCUUAACACAUGCAAGUCGAGCGGGGUGAUGGUGCUUGCACUAUCACUUAGCGGCGGACGGGUGAGUAAUGCUUAGGAAUCUGCCUAUUAGUGGGGGACAACAUCUCGAAAGGGAUGCUAAUACCGCAUACGUCCUACGGGAGACAGCAGGGGAUCUCUUGUGACCUUGCGCUAAUAGAUGAGCCUAAGUCGGAUUAGCUAGUUGGGGGGGUAAAGGCCUACCAAGGCGACGAUCUUUAGCGGGUCUGAGAGGAUGAUCCGCCACACUGGGACUGAGACACGGCCCAGACUCCUACGGGAGGCAGCAGUGGGGAAUAUUGGACAAUGGGGGGAACCCUGAUCCAGCCAUGCCGCGUGUGUGAAGAAGGCCUUAUGGUUGUAAAGCACUUUAAGCGAGGAGGAGGCUCUUUUGGUUAAUACCCAAGAUGAGUGGACGUUACUCGCAGAAUAAGCACCGGCUAACUCUGUGCCAGCCGCCGCCGUAA
Molecule: ribosomal RNA, 503 nt
Filed under: uncultured bacterium
Lineage: Bacteria
Description: partial 16S ribosomal RNA
Rfam family: Bacterial small subunit ribosomal RNA
Source: RNAcentral